This 439-nucleotide ribosomal RNA is filed under the name uncultured bacterium. RNAcentral describes it as "partial 16S ribosomal RNA". It matches the Rfam family "Bacterial small subunit ribosomal RNA", at positions 338 to 795 of the family's 1533-position model. The record is from RNAcentral.
CCUACGGGGUGCAGCAGUGGGGAAUAUUGCACAAUGGGGGAAACCCUGAUGCAGCGACGCCGCGUGAGUGAAGAAGUAAUUCGUUAUGUACAGCUCGAUCAGCAGGGAAGAAAAGGACGGUACCCGGAGAAAAAGCAGCGGCGAACGCCGUGCCAGCAGCCGCGGUAAUACGGAGGAUGCGAGAGUUAUCCGGAUGCCUUGGGUGUAAAGGGUGCGCAGGCGGGCCUUUAAGCCGGCGGGGAAAUCGCGGGGCUCAACCCCGCCGAGCCGGCGGAACGGGGGGCCUUGAGUGCGGCGGAGGCAUGCGGAAUGCGCGGUGUAGCGGUGCAAUGCCUCGAUCUCGCGCAGAACCCCGAUUGCGCAGGCAGCGUGCCGUGCCGCCCCUGACGCUGCGGCACGAAAGCGCGGGGAUCGCACAGGAUUCGCUACCCCAGUAGUC